AUUAACGGAACGACGGAUGGAAAACUAAUGACAAAGAAAACUCUUAACUUGGGAUUUGAUUGCGGUUCAAUUAUUUGGCUACAUAUAUGACCAUCUGUUGAAGUCAGCAUGAUUUACUGGGCUAUAUAAACAGGUCAAGUGCAUGAUACGUUCAUUGUCACUUGCUGUAUCUAUAUUCGUUUUGAGAAGAUAAAAAGUACAAUAUGAAGGGUGUUCUGUUUUUAUUCGUUGUCAUCAUUGCGUCAAUUUCUGUGCAAGCCGCCCCAAGAACUAAUUUGCUGUAUAAGUUUUGUCCAUUAAAGCUUUGUGAUGUGAAUAACAACUGUUUUCUAAGUUGUGAGGAAUGCAAUGCUGCUCCAAAACUUUGUCUUGAUCGUUACGUUCCUUCCUGUCGAAAAUGCGAAAGUCAUAACUUCCCGUUGGUCAGAUAUUAAUCCUGAUAAGACGCCGAAGAAGGGAUAUAGUGGCAUAAUUUAUUUAACAUGAAUAGCGUCGGUGAAAAAUGUAUCUCUUCCGUAUAUAGUAAAAACCAAUGUUAUAUUAAUUAAAUACGUAAAAUUUCUU
Long non-coding RNA from Dendronephthya gigantea, 564 nucleotides. RefSeq lists it as uncharacterized. The record is from RefSeq and is a predicted model, not a curated record. NCBI's taxonomy places the organism in Eukaryota, Metazoa, Cnidaria, Anthozoa, Malacalcyonacea, Nephtheidae. The transcript has 3 exons.